CCCGGUGGCAAUACCGGAGGGGAAACACCCGUUCCCAUCCCGAACACGGAAGUUAAGCCCUCCAGGGCCGAUGAUACUGCAGGGUUACCCCUGUGGGAAAGUAGGUCGCUGCCGGGA
RNAcentral lists this ribosomal RNA (117 nucleotides) under bacterium. RNAcentral also lists the same sequence under 1 other name. The record is from RNAcentral.